GAUGAAGCAAAAACUGAAGAAAAACUACUAAAAAGAAAAGGGAAAUAUGAAUUUUACUUAUGAAAAUAUAGUCACAGAAACAAAUAAAAGCUACUUAUAGAUUCAAGAAAGACAACAAACUGAUCUUCAAGUUAAACGAUUCCUUGACUGAUGAUAUGAACCGUAGUAAAAGGAACCUAUCUUCUUUUUUUUCCAGACGCAGGGGCUAUCCGGGCCUUCGGCCCGACUAAUCCCCCUGCGGCCCAAGAGGAGAGGCCCCAUCCCCUCGAACAUGGUAACCCUGGUGGGGGAGAUGGACAACGCUUCUUGAGGAGGCUGCGUGACCAACCGAGCUACCCAAUAGGGGCUAAAAGGAACCUAUCAAUUGAAGCAUAUGUGUAUAUUAGAAUUUGUUAAUCUGUCUAUUAUUCAUACGUGGAAAAUUUGACAAAAAAAAGGGGAAAGAUUUUUUUCUCACCAAAGAGACUCCAAAGAAGGUGUAAAGGCCAGGAUGCUUCUUGCAGUUCAUAAGGCAGAGGAGCCAGCGGCAUGCACUAAUAAAUACCUCUAUUACAUUUUUUUGAUUUCAUAAUUCACUGGAAAAACUGCAGCCUAAAUGAAUCGAAAACCAAUUUCUCAUCAUAACUGAAAUAAGGAAAAAAUCAUAUCUGAAACGAUAUUUCUCAUCAUUAUCGUAUGGCUGAUGAGAAUUGAAUAGAAAGCAUGAUUUGAGCGGAAAAUUGAAUGGCAAAACUGAUGAGAAUAGAAUACCAUACCUAAUCUAACAAAAAGUUCCGAAUUUCCUUCCUUUGAAGUACAAUUAUCACGUGAGUGCCCAACAAUUCUUGCAACAUGAAAUCAAAAUAGAAAAGGGUUAAUUUGAUAUUAGAGGAAGAGGAAAACACGGCAUGUGUAAGCAAGAGUAGUUCAGCUGCUCCCAAUUUUCCUCCUUUGAAGUACAAACACCAUGUGAGUGACCAGCAAUCCCUGCAACAUGAAAUGAAGUAUCUGCAGGAGUAGCAGUUGACCUACUGGUUUGAAGAAAGAACUCACAAAUCUUCAUCAAAAACCCAUCGCCUGAAUCAUGUAAAAAUCCAAACUUUUUAGAGAAUAGACAUUUCAAACUGGGUUUGGUAGAAUAGGCACUUGGAAUUGGAUUUGCUCAGUAAGGAAUUGGAAUUGGGUUUGGUAGAAUAGGUGCUUGGAAUUGGAUUUUUGCCCAGAAUAGACAUUCGGUAGAGAGAAAAGAAGAAAAAGCUUCGGCGGCAACUUGAGAAAGAAACGGUUCAAUUGGAUUUCUUGAGAAAGGAAUUGGAAUUGGGUUUGAUACAAUAGGUGCUUGGAAUUGGAUUUUUGCUCAGAAUAGCCAUUCGGUAGAGAGAAAGGAAGAAAAAGCUUCAACAAGAACUUGAGAGAAAUGGUUCAAUGGCAAAA
This 1413-nucleotide long non-coding RNA is filed under the name Coffea arabica (coffee). Its description in RNAcentral is "long non-coding RNA (CARA_LNC005033)". Lineage: Eukaryota; Viridiplantae; Streptophyta; Magnoliopsida; Gentianales; Rubiaceae. The record is from RNAcentral.